Molecule: ribosomal RNA, 305 nt
Filed under: uncultured bacterium
Lineage: Bacteria
Description: bacterial SSU rRNA
Rfam family: Bacterial small subunit ribosomal RNA
Source: RNAcentral
GCCUACGGGGGGUAGCAGUAGGGAAUCUUCCACAAUGGGCGAAAGCCUGAUGGAGCAACGCCGCGUGGGUGAAGAAGGUCUUCGGAUCGUAAAACCCUGUUGUUAGAGAAGAAAGUGCGUGAGAGUAACUGUUCACGUUUCGACGGUAUCUAACCAGAAAGCCACGGCUAACUACGUGCCAGCAGCCGCGGUAAUACGUAGGUGGCAAGCGUUAUCCGGAUUUAUUGGGCGUAAAGGGAACGCAGGCGGUCUUUUAAGUCCGAUGUGAAAGCCUUCGGCUUAACCGGAGUAGUGCAUUGGAAACU